Molecule: ribosomal RNA, 534 nt
Filed under: uncultured bacterium
Lineage: Bacteria
Description: bacterial SSU rRNA
Rfam family: Bacterial small subunit ribosomal RNA
Source: RNAcentral
UUAGCUUGCUAAGUUCGAUGGCGACCGGCGCACGGGUGAGUAACACGUAUCCAACCUACCCAUGACUCGGGGAUAGCCUUUCGAAAGAAAGAUUAAUACCCGAUGGUAUAUAUUUCCUGCAUGGGAGAUAUAUUAAAGAAUUUCGGUGAUGGAUGGGGAUGCGUUCCAUUAGUUUGUUGGCGGGGUAACGGCCCACCAAGACUUCGAUGGAUAGGGGUUCUGAGAGGAAGGUCCCCCACAUUGGAACUGAGACACGGUCCAAACUCCUACGGGAGGCAGCAGUGAGGAAUAUUGGUCAAUGGACGAGAGUCUGAACCAGCCAAGUAGCGUGAAGGAUGACUGCCCUUUGGGUUGUAAACUUCUUUUAUAUGGGAAUAAAGUGGGGUAUGCAUACCCUUUUGUAUGUACCAUUAUGAAUAAGCAUCGGCUAACUCCGUGCCAGCAGCCGCGGUAAUACGGAGGAUGCGAGCGUUAUCCGGAUUUAUUGGGUUUAAAGGGAGCGUAGGUGGGCGAUUAAAUCAGUUGUGAAAGUUU